GUGGGGAUAGGUGAGUGGU
Molecule: transfer RNA, 19 nt
Filed under: Corallorhiza odontorhiza
Lineage: Eukaryota; Viridiplantae; Streptophyta; Magnoliopsida; Asparagales; Orchidaceae
Also listed under: 1 other name
Description: partial tRNA-Phe
Source: RNAcentral